RNAcentral lists this long non-coding RNA (2212 nucleotides) under Anas platyrhynchos platyrhynchos (common mallard). RNAcentral describes it as "lncRNA (ENSAPLG00000016997.1)". Lineage: Eukaryota; Metazoa; Chordata; Aves; Anseriformes; Anatidae. The record is from RNAcentral.
AAACAAUACAAAGUUUAGUGGUUACAUGCAAGAAUGGCUUGCUUCUGUUCUCAAAGACAAGUCAAAAACAAUGAAAACAAGCAACACUUUUUUCCCAUUUUUUUUUCAAAUAUCUUUUAACAAAAUUAUUGUUGUGCCAUUUUUCAUAAAUUUUUUACAAGACAUUAUUAUUUAUUUACUGACUGUGUCGAAGCUGGGCUGGCAGACCUGUGGCAUACAGCAAAGCAAUUUCCCAAGGGCUUAAUCAAGUUACCUACUCUUAAGAGCUGGGCUUGAUAAAGUGAAAUAGAGUGAAAUGUUGUGUUAUACAAGAAAGCAACUUGGAUUAUCCUCUACAUCUUUACUAUUUCAAUCUGAAUUAUGAAACUUAUGGAUUGUAAUAAAUGUGAUGUCCUGUUUCAAAAGUUACAACAUGCAUGUGUGACUCACAGUGUACUAACUUCAUGGAUUUGGAGACACAUUGUUAACGUAUUUUAAAACAAAUACUUACCAAGCACUUGUUAAAUAUUUCCUUGAUUGUCAGCAUGAAGGAAUAAGGACACAAUUCUCCAUUAUACUGCAGCAGGCAUAAUGAUAAAUGGAAAGGCAGUUUUAAAAUAACAAUUUCUCUAUGAUGUUUCAUUAAAAGCCAGCUGUUUGCUACCGGCAAUGAGCAUAGAAGAGUCUGUGGCAGCAGUGCUACAGGUUAUACUUUGUCUAAGUGUACAUUGCUUAUAGUAUUAUGCUGGUAGCUGCUGACCUGUUCCAUUGUAUGACUUUCAGACAAACUCUCUUUCACCCUUGCUGUAAAGAUAAGCCCAUUUUUUGAAAGUUCUUGGUAAAUAACAGCCAGAUCCCCAUUUACAAAACCAGAAUGCACUAGAAAUUCCUAGCUCAGCCUGUGCGGCUGGACAAACGAUCAGAAAUGUUUAAAUAUUGGAUUGGAGAAAAGCCAAAUUUUGAAUGUCAUGGAGAGCGGCCGGUGCCAAGCAUCCAAUUCUUCCACAGGGUCUGCACGUUUGAGCUGGAGCUAAUUGUUUACUCAGUCUGUCUGCCCAGGCAAACAAGCUCCUCAAAGCUCAUUGCUGUGAGCCUGCCCGGAUCCCCGUUCCUUGGCCUUUAUGUACUUAUUAGGCUUACAAUAAAGGACGGCACCGAAGCAAGCGCAGAUGUGAACAAAGCCAGGGGAAUGCCAGGCCUGGAUCCAGACCGUGGUAUGGAGAAAAGAAGCACCAUGACUGUGAGGGACCAGGUUGCCUGCAGCUGAGAGAUGCCAUUUGUGCAGGGAGCAGCCAGGGCUCUGCGAGGCAAAAAAGGAAUUGCGGAGAUAGAGCAAUCAAAUCCAAGUCCUGGGUGAACUUGAAGUGUUGUCUCAAGGACAAGGAGCCAGUGGCCAGGCAGGGGGUUGUGCCAACUGCUCUGAAAUGUCAGCAUUUAUCUUGCUCCGUGGCUCGGAUACAUUAUCUUUUCUGGGUCAGGCAGCCUGAAAAUAUCCCUCUGGUGAAAACAGGUGAUUCAAAGCCUGGCAGCUCAGCUGGUUGCAUGCCCUUUGUGUAUACCCCUGCGAACCUGCUACAACAUGAGGCAAGGGUGCAGGUGUCUGUAGGACUGAUAGCAGAACUGAUACACAGCUUGUCUCAUCCAGAGAUGAGGAUGAGCUCUGGGCAGUGCUCAUGAGGAGAGCAGCUUCUUCUGCGGUCACCUCUGGGAAAAUCCUCACUGCCAAGGGACGGCUUAUUCUUCCCUCAUAGGUAGUCAUGCUCAUGUCUUCUCAAAGCUGGAGUUUUUCUUGCUGAAAGUCUUCCUACCCCAAUCUUGAAAGUGUAAACCUGUGGAAAGUUUUUAUCCACCUAUUUGCUGGAUUGUACCAAGCCCCUCUGGUGCAAGUUUGCUGCAGCUCUCAUUAAACUCUGCCAACACUGUGUGAAAGGAUACCAAAAGACAUUUUGACUUAAAAUCUGGAUUUUAUGAGAGAAAAAGAGCCACAGGUUUAUUUCAGUUUUGUUUACCUAUAAAAUAAUGCAACUAUAAUUAAAGCAUCACUUGCAUCUCUGUCUGCCUGAAACUAUUCUGACAACAUAUUUUUUCUUUCUGAUUCAUCUACAUUGAAAACUUCCUCUGUUACAAUGCUGACUUUGAUGAUAUUUUGGGUUGAGCCCUUUAAAUGAUUUUUCACUUCACAAUGAGUUUCUGUCCCCAGACAUAUUUUGUUCUAUAUUACAUUAUAUUAAUA